Molecule: long non-coding RNA, 1377 nt
Organism: Myotis daubentonii (Daubenton's bat)
Lineage: Eukaryota; Metazoa; Chordata; Mammalia; Chiroptera; Vespertilionidae
Source: RefSeq, a predicted model, not a curated record
CAAAGUGUUUUGUCCUUAGGGCUCGCUGACGGUAAUCUGUUCUUUCCACAGGUGUCUGGGUUGGCCCUCGCGGUUAGAUUACCUGUCAAUUGAGCAGAUUCCCCAGAACCAAGUCCUGCGCGCUCCCUGGGAUCCUUCCGCCCUUCCUGGAUCUGAGCUUCUGCCUCUGAGGCCCCUUCCACCAACACUGAGCGUUCGUUGCGGUUUGCCUGUGGUUGUAGGAAGCCGGAUCCAGACCUCAGGCCCACAGUGGGCACAGGCUGCCCAGGGAAGGAGCUCGGAUGCUUCUAGAAGCUGCUCCUCCCUGCGCUGCUAGGACGCCGGAGGGAGGCUUGACUGGAAGAAAAGUGCUCAUUUUCUCUGGGAUUUGGGACCCCAGGCCUGUGAAUUUGGGGAACCUCCUAGGCAUCCACUGAGGCGAAGUUGUAGACUAGAGCUCUCUAUGGAUUAAACACAGGAAAGGCUAAAUAACUUGCCCGAGAUGGCACAGCUAAAUACGGUUCCUAGACUGAAAACUGCUAAGCAGGCAGGCCCAGAGCCUGCAGUUUUAGCCACAAAACCACGAGACGGCAGGAAAGGAAGCAGAUUCUGGCUGCAGUGUGAGUGAUCUCGCUACAUGAGUGAUCACGCCAAAGACAUGAGUUUCCCGGCCCCCUGGGCACACCGUGGGAGCCUCCUCGCAAGGAAGGGCUCUGCAAGGUAGCCGCCUUGCCCCCCGACUGGACACUGCUGCUCCCACAUUCAAGCCUACAGGAUGGUGUCUUGAGUCAAUGGCUGUCACGAAUGGAGAAGGGCCUGGCAUCUCUGUGUCCCUUCUGACCGUGGAGAGAAUGGAGAAGAGGUGCAGAUACACGUGUUUGCGAGCGGGGUGUCAUUGUCAAAGCUCAUCAUCAGAGUUUUCUCUUCUCCAGAGUGGUCAGUAUCCUGUUGGCUUGCGUGUGUAUGCACGUGUGUAUGUGUGUAUGUGCGUGUGUGCGCGUGUGUAUGUGUGUGCCCUUCCUCUGCCCCUGCGGAAGCCUUUGAGUCAUAACAAUAACUCAUCUAGCCCAUUGUCAAGGCUAAUUUACAUUUCCCCAGCUUGAUGCUUGAUGCCUCCCGGACUGACGCUAGCUUUCUCCUCUCCCCAAGCCCUCUGUCCCCUCCCCGAGCUGGAUGCCCUCCAGGAAGCAGUUGUGGUUGAAGGCAAAGACAUGUCAGGUCAGCUAACAACGACGAGUCUGUGUCAGGCAGCAGGCCCCUGCUCCAGGUCAGAGGCGUUUCUGAGAAGUGAAGUCCAGGCUCCAUGAUGUAAGCGGUCUCAGCUGAGAAGACUUAAAGGCGGGCUGUGGGGUGGGUGUGACUCAGUGGCCGGGGGCUGGAGUCACCUGGGCAACCUCC